Molecule: long non-coding RNA, 7680 nt
Filed under: Homo sapiens (human)
Lineage: Eukaryota; Metazoa; Chordata; Mammalia; Primates; Hominidae
Description: HSALNT0242687
Source: RNAcentral
GCUCAUUGCAGCCUUGAUCCUGCAGGCUCUAGUGAUCCUCUUGCCUCAACCUCCUGAGUAGCUGAGACUACAAGCAUGUGCCACCACAUCUGGAAAUCAGCCUCCAUGCUGUGGAAAGCCCAAGCCACAUGAAGAGGCCACAUGUUUGUGCUUUGGUCAACAGUCCCAGUGGGUUCCAAGUUUUCCCAGUCCAGGUGCCAGGCAAGAGAGUGAAGAAGACUCCAAAUGAUUCCAAGAGGUUCCAGACAUAGUGGAGCAGAGAUAAGUCAUCCUUGCUAUUCUCUGGCCAAAACCUUGACCCAAUGACCUAUUCCAUUUUUUGGCAAGAAAAGUCAUCACUUACUUCUGCUGCCCCAAACGUUUCAUUGUUCCUCAUUGCCUCAAGGAAAAAGUCAAUCAUCGCUAUCCUGAAGAGCACUGGUGCCCUAGUUUUUGUUGUUGCCAUUUCUCAUCUUCAAUAUUCUGCUGGUGAUAUGUAAAUAGUAUUUGUCAGGGUCCAGUUUAUUUUAGAAUGCCAAUCGCUGUACUUGGUAUUUCACAUAAAAUAUUGUAUUUAACCCUGAGGGCAAGGGAGAUAAUUAUUUACGUUGACAACAGAGUUAGAUUGAAUAAGGUAUGGAAAUCCUGUAGAGAUACACCUAUGAUGUGAUUCCAAGUCGAACUCAAAUCCAGACGCUUUACCCUUUACGCCCUCCUACUCCUCCAAGAUUCCUCUGAAGGACAACUUCAUUUCAGGCAUUAACAAAAAGCAUCUCACUGUAAUAUUGCAGAGUCCCUACAAUAAGCAUUUUACAGAUGAGAAAACUAAGGCACUACAACAUUAAGAACUUCGCAUAAAGGGACACAGACACUAAGUGGCGGAGUCCUGAUUCAAACCAUAUGUAUCUGAAUUCACGUUCUAUUCUUUUUCCACUCUACUAUAUAGCCUCUUUAUCUGGAAAACUACCCCCUUCAUUCUUCCCCAGUCAAAACUCUACCUAUUCUCCAAGUUACAGCUCCAAUACAACUUCUCUGAUCUUCCUCUGCACUUCAAUAGAACUUACCACACUUGGCUAAUGAGUAUUGCCUUGUACUGUGAUGACAUAAAAUAAAAAUAAAAAUGUGAUGCUGGGUGUAGUGGCUCACACCUGUAAUCCUAGCACUUUGGGAGGCCAAGGCAGGCGGAUGACCUGAGCUCAGGAGCUUGAGAAGCCUGGGCAACAUGGCAAAAUCCCAUCUCUACUAAAAGUCCAAAAAAUUAGCUGGGUAUGGUGGUGCACACCUGUAAUCACAGAUACUUGGGAGGCUGAGUCACGAGAAUUGCUUGAACCCAGGAGGUGGAGGUUACAGUGAGCUGAGAUCACACCACCACAGCACUCUAGCUUGGGCAACAGAGUGAGACUCUGUCUCAAAAAACAAGUAAACAAACAAACAAACAAAAGAUAUGAACAAUAAACUAUUAGAGAAUAUUGAAUAUUUGUACAUACACUACCUCAUUUGAUCCUAAAAUUUAUCCUUAUUAUUCCAGUUUUACAGAAGGGAUUGAAAUGACUUUCUCAGAAAUUACUCAUGCCGUCUGCUAUGUUGUCAAGUUUUGACUUGAACCUGUCUAAAAACAUAUAUAUUUUGCUUUGGCAAAAAUCUAGACUUAGAUAAUAAAAUACUAAGCUUAACUUGAAAUCUUCCAAUGGCAAGCUUCGAUAUAUCAGGCUUUAACAUACAUUUUCUUGUUGAAUCCUUCAUAUAGUUGUAGGAAGUAGUUCAUUUGCUUAUAACCUCACAGCUUUUUCUAUACUGUUGUUGAUUCCUUCAACAAAAAUGUAUUAAAUACCUGUUAUAUACUCAAUAUGGUACCAAAAAGGGUAAAUCUGCUUUAGAAUGUUUUAAUAAUUUCCCAUUUUUCUUAUGUUUAGAACCAAAAUUUCUAAUAUGAUGGGUUCCUUCCUACCUCUCCAGCCUAAACUUAUGCAGCAUUAGAAAUUGUCCCAAGCAUCCUAGCCACGAUGACCUUCUUGCAAUUCUCAGAAUUAUUAAAUUCUAUAUUGCAGAUGUAGGGGAAGAAUAACUUCCCAUCUGCCCUCUGAGGGAUCAAUAAUUAAGUCGAUGAAAUAAACUGACAACAGGCAGAGUAACAUGAGAAAAGGUAUACAAAUUUAUUAUAUGCAAGGAAACAUCACAUGAAAAAAAUCAAAUACUCAAAAACCCAGUGAGAUCUAGAAGCUUAGGUGCAAAUCUUCCUAGCGGAGUGUGAGGGGGAGAAGUAGGCAACUUAGAACAGAGUAAAUUAUUUUGUCAAGAUGAAUAGGCCCUCAGAAAAACACGUGAAAGCCUGUGACAAAGUCUGUCUGGGCAUAGUGUGGACCUCUAGCUUCCUCUCCUGUGAUACAAGCUGAUCUUCCCUGGUUGAUGAGAUUCCUGGGAAGAGAAUUUACACAGUUGAGUUCCUUUUGAAGGACCUAUCUUUAGGCAGACAGAAGAAGUUCAGAGAAAGCCUCUUCCUGCAUUUACCAUUCCCCAAGUAUGCUUAGUUUGAAGUAAUUUGCAUACCAAAACAAUAUAUCUUGGGUAGCAUUCCUGAACUCUUUCAUAGCAUACACUCCAUAGUGCUUUUUAAGUGCUGGGUGCUAUUCAUAAUAGUUUACAAAUAUUUACUAUUUUAAUUAUAACAACCACCUUUAGGGUGGGUACCAUUAAAGCCAAUUUAUAGAGGAGGAAACUGUGGCACAGAAAUUAAAUAGUUUGUAUAACGUCACACAGCUUAAAUAUUAUGCAUCAAGCUCUCUGGUCAAGCAUGCCCUGACCUCCUUUGAACUUGAUCUAUUCCCUGCCAGUAACAUACCUUUUUCUUCAGACUGCAGAUGAAGUUACUCUUCUCUGAAAAGGUUCUUCCAGUUUAUUAUUUUUUUUUUGUACAUACUCAUAUAAUUACAUUUGUUUUCACCUUUGCCCGGGAAAUGUGCAAUUCGUGGAGGGUAUGUGUUCACCUCCAUAUCCCUAGCAUGGUAUUUGCCACAUAGUAGGCACCCAACUAUGUGCUGAAUUAAUAAAUUUGGAUUGAUUAAAUAAGUGUAUCAGGUACCACAGUGCAUACUAUCAGGUAUAAUCCUUGUCCUCCAGGAGCUCUAAGCCUAAUGUCAAAUACAGACAAGGGAACACAUGAUUAUAACCUGACAUAAUAGCUGUAAUGAUUAAACACAAGUGACUGCAGAGCACAGAGGAAGGCAAUUCAUUCUGUCUGAUGAUCUGAAAGGCUUUCCAGAUUCUAUGACAUAUAGGGAAUGAGCAGAAUUUCUAAGGGAGAAAAGAGUUGGAUGGGGUGGUUUCCUGGGUAGAAGGAACCCCUUGUAAGGUACAGACAUAAAAGCAGAGGGUGAGAUAUGACAUAGAGAUAAAUUGUUUAUGGGUGAAUUGGAGAUGGCAUUGAGAGAAGUGGUGAAGAAUGAAGCUUAUUUUGAAGUUUAAGGUCAGUAUUAUGAAAGAUGACAUAGCCUGUGCUAAGAGUUAGAAUCUGGUUGUAUAGAGAGAAGGAAACGAUAAGUAGUAUAAUAAUUUUAAAAGUAUUUUCAAUGUGCUUUAGAAAGAUCAAUCAAACCACUAAAUGGACAAUUAUUCCUCUAUCUUUGAAUUUGGUUUUUGUAGUAUUAAUGCAAAUUUCAAAGGGUACUCCAAAUAGCCCAAUUUAAUAUGAGUCUUAGGACAUCAGGGCUAAAGAAGAUUGAGAAAUGAUUGAAAUGUUUCCUGGUAUCACAGUAAUUUGCAACAAAUCUCUGUAAUUUGCAUUACGAUACAUGCCAAGCUGCAGUAUGAGACAGCCACAGGUCAUCCCCAAGCCCUGAGUAUGCUGUAUCUGUUGCAUUUAUAUCUUCAUUUCAUGAAGUCUUUCAAAUGAUAUACCUAAGACCAAUUGAAUUCCUAAUCAUAAGAAUUCCUGUCUUUACUGAGUUGAUCACCUCAAUAUGUUUGUGAAGUCAGCUUUUUUUGUUGUUUUCAAUAAAACAAGAUUAGGCACAAACCAUUUUAAAAAUAAUAGAGGAUGCAAAUAGUUCAUGGACAAUGUUAAUGUUCAUUAACAAUAGAAUAUAAACCAAACUAAGUAGAUGUUGUGCAACAGUCUCCAGCUUUGUCCUACUACUGGCCAAGACAGCUUUAACAUUUCCCUCAGCUUGACUAAAUUUAAGUAAGCUUCUUUCUGACUUCAGUCCCUGCCCUCUCUUUGCUUAAAACAUUAACUUUAGAAACUUGCGAUUGUAAAUUCCUCCUCUGCCCAUUAGAGAUAUAAAUUUUCUACAACCUAGAAAUAUCUUUCUCAUCAAAUCAUCAAGAAAGAGUGGGCUCCUUUCUCCCAGUUUCUGAGGGACCGUAAUAGCCUAAUUUAGAUAAGUGACAAUCGGCUAACGCAAAUAGCCUAAUCAUUUUAACCAACCUCCCCCAUCCCAAUGUCCUCUUGUAGUUUUCCGUUAGCUCACGACAGCAUUUAAAUAUCUUCAGCAGAACUGUUCAAUCUCUCUCUUCUAUUGCAAUGGCUAUGAUAUAAAUACUAUGUCUUUAAAAGUAAUAUAACUUAGUUUUUCCCUACAGUUAAUUAUCAACAAAAUCACACAUCAGAAAAGCUUGCUUUAAAAACUUGCAGGUAGAUGCAACGUCUAAUACUAAAUAAUGAAAAAAGCAAGAUUCUUAAAACUCUGCAACCUACCUGGGUCAGUCGGUAGCAGCAGCAGCCUUUAUACUUAUUCAUUUUCAAACAUUUGUUGAAUCCCUUACUGUGUGUUAGUAUUGUUUUUAACAUUUGGGAUAUAUCAGUUAAUUAAACAGAUAAAGAUCCUUGCCCUCAAGGAUCUUACAUUUUAGAAGAGAAGAGCAGACGGAACAGAAAUGUGACAUAAAAAUAAAUUAUAGAUUAUGUUUUACAGUGAAAAGUUCUAUGAAAGAAAAAGGAAAUUAAAGCCAGGUUAAGGGAUGUUUUAAUGAAUUUUACUUGGAGUAAAAUAGGAAAGCUUUACAGGAUUUUUAAUAUGGAUGUGACAUGAUUUUACCCAAAGUUUUAAACAAAAUAGAUAAUUCUGGAUGCUGGGUAGAAAAUAAGCCAUAGGUGGAAAAGGUUAAAAGUAGGAGAUCAGAUGAAAGUUACUGCAGUUUAUCCAGGAAAGACUUUAGCACAAAUGUUAAUAAUAGGUCAGGCGGUAUGUAGUAAUAUGUUCUAGAUAUAUUAACAAUCAAGACAACAAAGUUUCCUAAAAGAGAGGAUGUGAGCUGUGGGAGAAAGGGAGAAAGAAUAAUUAAAAGCUUUUUCGCUUGAAGCAAGUAAUAUGCAGUUGCUAUCAAUUGAGAUGGAGAGGGUUGCAUUUGGAAUAGCAUUUGAGAAAAAGACUAAGAGUUAAGUUUGGGACGUGCAGAUUUUUACGAUUUGAAUGUAUUUCAAGAGUAGCUAUUGAUUUGGAAGUUGAAUAUAUGAUCUUGGAGUUAGGAAGAACUGGGUAGGAGAGAUAAAUUUGAGAGUCACUGACAUAUAAAUGCUAUUUUAAAACCACGAGGUAACACCAAGGGAGUGAGAGAAGAAAAGAUGAAGAAUGACUGAGGAAUGGUCCUUGGUCAUUCCAAGUUUCAGGAAUGAGGAGGAAGAGGGGAGAGGAAAGAGGAAAGUUAGGAGAAACACUAGGAAAGUGUGACAAUCUGCAAGUCAAAUGAAGAAAAUAUAUCAAAAAAGGUACAGUGAGCCUUUGGCUCAGAUAUUGCUGAUAGGUGAGUGGAAUGAUAAUUAAUAAUUGAUCAUUGGAUUUGGCAGUGCAGAGAUCAUUGAUGGCUGUUACCACAUUCGUCUUGGUGGAGUUGGAUAAAUACCUGGUUGGAGUAGAUUUAGGAGAGAAUGGGAAAAAGGAUUUAAAGCAAUACGCCAACUAACCAACAGGCUGCCUUGCUGCCUCUGCUCUGACCCGCAGAAAUGGUCCAGGUUUUUCCUUUUAACAGGUCCCUCAGCUUCAGAUCUGUUGGAGUUUGCCGGAGUUCCACUCCAGAUCCUCAUUGCCUGGCUAUCACCAGCGGAGGCUGCAGAACAGCAAAUAUUGCUGCCUGAUCCUUCCUCUGGAAGCUUUGCCCCAGAGGGUCAGUCGCCUAUAUGAGGUGGAAACACAGAAGUGGAAUCUAGAGGCAGUAGGCCUUGGUGAGCACUUCUAUCAUCAUCUUAAGCAUAAUGAUGGUUGCUCUUCAUUUUCACUCACACCCUCUAACUUGUUCUCAUUUUAUGUGUGGCACCUAAGAGAGUGCUCCUAAUAUAUAAUUUUCUAAAAUGUAAUAACAUACUUCUCAUAAAAAUAUCAAAUGAACAUAUGUUAGUGAUAUUAUUUAACUUGUGAAUUAAUGAAGCAAUGUUAAAACUGGCUCACAUGAGAAUUUAAGGUGGUUAGCUAUUUACAGAAAAUUUAAUAAAGCAAUGCUAGAAUAAGAUUUCUGAAUGAGAUACAACACUAGUUAACAUCCAAUAGGUUAAUAAAACAUAACCUUUGUGGUUAUCUAUUCUUCUGGAAAGAAGUGAUUUGCAUCUCUAUCAGAAGUAAAUCUACAAGUGAAUUUCUGCCCCUUCCAAGCUGUUAAAGAACCCAGUCAAUAAAAAGUCAAUCAAGAGGGCAAACACAGAACUGCUUUGAGAGAACACCCAAUAAUCUCUUUUGUCAUUUCCAUGUUUUCAUAAUAUUUUGACAGUGCCUUGAAAAUAACGGACAUUUAUGAAAUAUAUGUGGAAUUGGAGAAGUAGAGACUGAGUGGAUCUGAAGUCCUUUAUACCGUGGUUUUGGGAUAUCACUAGUUAAAAACUUCUGAUUAAAGGCCAUAUGAAGCUGGGUGUGGUGGCACAUACCUCAGGAAGCUGAGGUGGGAGAAUCACUUGAGCUCAGGAGAACGAGGCUGGAGUGAGCUAUAACUGUGCCACUGCACUCCAGCCUGUGCAAGAGUGAGGCCCCAUCUCUAAAAACAUUAAAAAAAAAAACUAGAUAAAUAAAGGCCAUAUGAUUAUUCUCAAGCAGGCUCCACUAGACAAACAACAAGACCAAGAAGGUCAGGGCACUCAGAAGAGAUGUGUAACUGCUUUCUGAGCAAAGCUGGAUAAAUGGUACUGGGAAAAUAUAAAUAUUAUUGAUCCAUGAUAUCUUAAAAGUUUGAAAGAGAUAAAGGCAUUUUGCACAUUUCUGCAAUUAGAAUGUACUUUUGGCACAUAUCUUGAUGAGUAUACUGCUAUAUAUGAAGCCUCCUACAGAUGGGGGCUUCUUUUUAAGUUGCAUGUUGUGAGAGAUAAUUGAUUAAAAAUUCAAAUUUGAGCAUGGAUGGCCUCAAAAAUCGUGUUUCUAUGUAUUUAUUUUUAUUAUUUAUUCAUCUAUUUAUUUAUUUUUGAGACAGACUGUCACUCUGUCACCCAGGCUGGAGUGUAGUGGCAUGAUCUUGGCUCACUGCAACCUCCGCCUCCAAGGUUCAAGCAAUUCUCCUGCCUCAGCCUCCGAAGUAGCUGGACUACAGAUGUGCACCACCAUGCCUGGCUAAUUUUUGUAUUUUCUGAUAUUAUUAAUAGUAGAGAUGGAGUUUCACCAUUUUGCCCAGGCUGGUCUCAAACCCCUGAGCUCAAGUGAUCAGCCAACUUCAGCCUCCCAAAGUGCUAGGAUUAAAGGUGUGAGCCCAUCAUGCCCAGCCCUCAAUUUAUUUUAUGUUGGUGUCAUU